This 1184-nucleotide ribosomal RNA is filed under the name uncultured bacterium. RNAcentral's name for it is "bacterial SSU rRNA". It matches the Rfam family "Bacterial small subunit ribosomal RNA". The record is from RNAcentral.
AGAGUUUGAUCCUGGCUCAGAUUGAACGCUGGCGGCAGGCCUAACACAUGCAAGUCGAGCGGAUGAGAAGAGCUUGCUCUUCGAUUCAGCGGCGGACGGGUGAGUAAUACCUAGGAAUCUGCCUGGUAGUGGGGGACAACGUUUCGAAAGGAACGCUAAUACCGCAUACGUCCUACGGGAGAAAGCAGGGGACCUUCGGGCCUUGCGCUAUCAGAUGAGCCUAGGUCGGAUUAGCUAGUUGGUGAGGUAAUGGCUCACCAAGGCUACGAUCCGUAACUGGUCUGAGAGGAUGAUCAGUCACACUGGAACUGAGACACGGUCCAGACUCCCACGGGAGGCAGCAGUGGGGAAUAUUGGACAAUGGGCGAAAGCCUGAUCCAGCCAUGCCGCGUGUGUGAAGAAGGUCUUCNGANUGUAAAGCACUUACACUNAGGUGCGAAAGCGUGGGGAGCAAACNNGAUUAGAUACCCUGGUANNNCACGCNNUAAACGAUGUCAACUAGCCGUUGGANUCCUUGAGAUUUUAGUGGCGCAGCUAACGCAUUAAGUUGACCGCCUGGGGAGUACGGCCGCAAGGUUAAAACUCAAAUGAAUUGACGGGGGCCCGCACAAGCGGUGGAGCAUGUGGUUUAAUUNGAAGCAACGCGAAGAACCUUACCAGGCCUUGACAUCCAAUGAACUUUCCAGAGAUGGAUUGGUGCCUUCGGGAACAUUGAGACAGGUGCUGCAUGGCUGUCGUCAGCUUGUGUCGUGAGAUGUUGGGUUAAGUCCCGUAACGAGCGCAACCCUUGUCCUUAGUUACCAGCACGUUAUGGUGGGCACUCUAAGGAGACUGCCGGUGACAAACCGGAGGAAGGUGGGGAUGACGUCAAGUCAUCAUGGCCCUUACGGCCUGGGCUACACACGUGCUACAAUGGUCGGUACAGAGGGUCGCCAAGCCGCGAGGUGGAGCUAAUCUCACAAAACCGAUCGUAGUCCGGAUCGCAGUCUGCAACUCGACUGCGUGAAGUCGGAAUCGCUAGUAAUCGCGAAUCAGAAUGUCGCGGUGAAUACGUUCCCGGGCCUUGUACACACCGCCCGUCACACCAUGGGAGUGGGUUGCACCAGAAGUAGCUAGUCUAACCUUCGGGAGGACGGUUACCACGGUGUGAUUCAUGACUGGGGUGAAGUCGUAACAAGGUAACC